RNAcentral lists this ribosomal RNA (376 nucleotides) under uncultured bacterium. RNAcentral describes it as "bacterial SSU rRNA". It matches the Rfam family "Bacterial small subunit ribosomal RNA", at positions 524 to 898 of the family's 1533-position model. The record is from RNAcentral.
UACGAAGGUGGCAAGCGUUGUUCGGAAUCACUGGGCUUAAAGGGCGCGUAGGCGGAUCAGAAAGUGUCUUGUGAAAUACCCCGGCUUAACCGGGGAAUGGCUCGGCAAACUACUGGUCUUGAGGCAAGUAGGGGUGUGUGGAACUCUUGGUGGAGCGGUGGAAUGCGUAGAUAUCAAGAGGAACGCCGAAGGUGAAGACAGCACACUGGACUUGCCCUGACGCUGAGGCGCGAAAGCGUGGGGAGCAAACAGGAUUAGAUACCCUGGUAGUCCACGCCGUAAACGAUGCCUACUAGGUUGUGGGGGUUCUGACACUUCCACAGUCGUAGCAAAAGUGUUAAGUAGGCCGCCUGGGGAGUACGGUCGCAAGGCUAAA